GACGAACGCUGGCGGCGUGCUUAACACAUGCAAGUCGAACGGCAAGGCAGUGCUUUCGUGGGGUGCUCGAGUGGCGAACGGGUGAGUAACACGUGAGUAACCUGCCCUUGACUUUGGGAUAACUUAAGGAAACUGGAGCUACUACCGGAUAGGAGCUGAUGCUGCAUGGUGGGGGUUGGAAAGUUUCGGCGGGCGGGGUUGGAUGCGCGGCUAAUCAGUUUGUUGGUGGGGUAGUGGCAUACCCAGGCCUUGACGGGUAGCCGGCCCGGGAGGGUGACCGGGGACAAGGGGCCUACGGGAGGGCCCAGAGGCGAAUGUUGGACAGCGGGGGCAAACAUGAUACAAUGGGCCCAAGCCGGAGACAACGGCGUCGGGGUUGGAAUGACGGUUUGCUGGGAAUAAACCGCUGCCGCCUGAGACGAAGCGUUUGUGACGGUAACGGAUGAAGAAGCACCGGCUAACUACGUG
This 468-nucleotide ribosomal RNA is filed under the name uncultured bacterium. RNAcentral's name for it is "partial 16S ribosomal RNA". It matches the Rfam family "Bacterial small subunit ribosomal RNA", at positions 28 to 507 of the family's 1533-position model. The record is from RNAcentral.